UUUUUUUUAAAUAUUUAUUUAUUUGAGAGGUAGAGUCACAGGGGGAGAGACAAAUAGAAAGGUUUUGCAUCCGCUGAUUCACUCUCCAAAUGUCUGCAACAGCCAGAGCUGGACCAAUCUGAAGCCAGGAGUCAAGAGCUUCUUCCGGGUCUCCCAUGCAGGUGCAGGGGCCCAAGCACUUGGGCCAUCUUUUACUGUUUUCCCAGGCCAUCAGCAGGGAGUUGGAUCAAAAGUGGAGCAGCUGGGACUCAAACUGGCACCCAGGUGGGAUGACGACACCACAGGCAGAUGCUUAGCCUAGUAUGCCACAGCGCCAGCCUGGUAAAUCACACUUGAUCUUAGCCAAAAGGUCAAGAAGUGAUGGUGGUAAAUCAUUCUUAACAUUGGCUUCAUUCCUUGAACAUUUUCCCAUCAUGUGGUGGGUAUGAAUUGCAGAGAGGGAAGCCCUGCCUAUUCUUGGUACAAAGAUCACUUAGGGACUUCAAAGUCUGUUGAAAAAAAAAUUGCAGUAGGCAUGAUACCUUCUGGUAUUUGUGAGUAAUGUUCACCAAGAAUACAUUAAGUAUGUUAGGGGCCCACACUGUGGUAUAGUGGGUUAAGCCACAGGCUGAGGCACCAACAGUCCGUGUGGGCUCCUGUUAGAGUCUUGGCUGCUCCACUUGCAAUCCAGAUCCCUGCUGGUGUACCUGGGAUGGCAAGCAGAAACCAGCCCAAGUGCUUGGGCCCUUUCACCCAUAUGUGAGGCCCCAAUGAAAAUCCUGGUUGUUGGCUUCAGCCUGGCCCAGCCCUGGUUGUUGUGGCCAUUUGGGGAGUGAACCAGCAGAUGGAAGGUCUCUCUCAUUCUCUCUUCCUCUCUCACUUUCUCUCCUUCUUUCCCUCUGUAACUCUGAAUUUCAAAUAAAUAAAUCUUUGAAAAAAAAGUUAGCUUCUAUGAUCAAAUUAAUCUUGAACAAAGGAUGAGACUUGAAUAGGGUGUGUAAAAAGCAGUAAAGGGGCUGGCACUGUGAUGUAGUGGGUAAAGCUGCCACCUGUGGCACCAGCAUCCCAUGUGAUCUCUCUCUGUCUCUCCUUCUCUCUCUCACUGUAACUCUGCCUUUCAAAUAAAUAAUCUUUAAAAAAGUAGGUAGAGUAAUAUUGCAGUCACAUGUCCAACAUAAAAGUCACCAUCAGCAUUACUAUUCAUUAUUGGCCUAUAUCUCUGUGGGAGGGACAUCAGGAAGUGCUCAGUAUUCAGGGCUUUCUUAUUUAAACUUUUUAUUUCACGAUACUUUUACAUUCAUAAAAUGAAAAUUGUAAAGUCGUACGCGGUUUUCAUAAGCCCUGCAUCCAGCUUCCCCCAUUAUUAACAUCUUACAUUAGUAUGUUUUUGUCACAAUUAAAGCAUCACAUCCAGUUUCUCCUAUCUUUUUAAAAUCCAAACUCCCUCCAUCCCUUUCACCCCUCCCAAUCUCUAGUGAUACUCUGUGUUUAAUCUAUUUUUAGUGCUUCCAUGUGAGGGCUAGCAUGUGGUAUUUGUCCUCUGAAAUGAUUUCUUACUACCUUACUGCCAGUGAAGCAUGUUACUUGUGGCCUGGUGACUUUCUGUAAAAACUAAAAAAAUUGUGACAUUAAAAAAAAUUGAACUAGUGCAAAAACAUAGUAAAAGCUUUAAAAACUUUGUGACAUUAAAACAUUUAAAUAUUCUAAAAAUAUUUAAAAGUGUAAGGGAGGAGAUGAAAGCCACUUAAAGAGCUGCCACCUUGAAAUAACAACCAUUAACAUUUUGAACAGGGUGUAUGUAUGCUGUAAAGUAUGCUGCAAAUUUUACUUAGAUGAUAUAUAAUACAUGUUGGGUCUUUGACACCUGAAAUCUUUGUUUUUAUGUCUUCCUUCUCCCUUGUCAUUAUUAACCAUGGAGUGUGCAUCCCUGUGUAUAUAUAUAAAUACAAGUAAUCGAACAUCAACUCAAAUUAUCGGGCAUUUUUAACUCAUUGUUUUACAAAGUGGAAUUCAUUAUAUGUUGCCUAUAUCAGUUGGUGUAUUGUGGUAAUUCAAGUUAAAGGGUUAAAGCUAAAUCAUUCUUUUAAAUGGCUAUAAACCAUGUCAGGUCAUGAAUGGACCACCAUGUAUUCAUUCAUUCUCCCAUGGAUGACUAUUCCUUUUACUUUCAGCUUUUGCCUCCACAAAACAAGGCCGCAAUCCAUUUUAUUUAUUUAUUUUUUACAUCUUUAUAUUUACAGGUGGGAUCUUUAUUCUAGGGGAAAGAUUCACAGAAGUGAGAUUUACUGUCCUGCUCCGACUUUGGGCUGGAGAGGCAAUUCACCAAAAUGGAACUGGGUUACUUUCUGAAAAGGGGUAGGAGCGAGAAAACUAAUGACAACAUAAGGUCAGAGUUUAGUGUGGUUCAGGAAAUGAUGAGGCCGUUACCCCCACAACACUUCAGCAGAGGGAGCCCUUCCUUGAGCUGUCCUCUGUUAGCCCUCAAGAACCCCUCCCAGAGGCCCGAAGCCACAGACCUGUUCUCCAUGAAUAAAUUAGAGUAAAAUUAAAAAGCAAAAACAAAGACAGUGAAUGUUUUGAAGUCUCCUUACAUCACAGCCUCCCUCUGAAGAGGAAGACAUCAUAAGGACAUCCCUCGGAUGUUUUCUGAGCUGCCAUCCUUGGGAACCUUACUGAGCAGCAGAAAAUUGAACAGACUUUCAAAGGAGUCAAAGUGCCAGGACAUCCUUUUGUCAAUUCUUGCACAGAUCAGCUCUAUUUAGCUCCUUUCUCAUGUACUCUUAGAGUGUACAAAGUGAAGGAGCAGUGGAGCUAUGUUUCACAUGGAGAUCAUAUUCUGAUAUUAGAACAUAAAGCAAAUGUAAUAUAUGAGGGGUAUUCAAAAAGUUCACAGAAAAUGCAUGUUGUAAAAAAUUAUGCAUGCAUUUCAGUUUUUUGGAUCAAAAUAAAUUCCCUUUUAAUCCCAUUUUCCCAAGAGUGUUAUGAAGUAACCUCAAAUGGUCACAAAUAAUAUUGAAAAAUCUAUUACUUCACUGAUAAAAGAUAAUACUUAUUGAUGGAACAAAGACAUAAACCUCAGCCAUUCUCAUUUACUGCCCAAAAAGAUAGAUAAAAAUUGGAAUGUAUUCCUUGCCCUUGAAUCUCAAUUGUGUCUCACACCCUAUCAUUUUCAUACCCCACCCCCCACAGCCAGCUGAAAGACCAGUCCCAGGAACCCCCCUCUGCUUGCUGCCCCCUACCCUACCCCCACCCCUAGCUCUCAUGAAAUAUAAAAAAGCCCGGCCCCUGGGGUUCUGGGCUUUCUGCCAUGUGUCCAUCAAUGUGCAUGUGGGCAGUUGGUCACCCACCUUUGUGGAUUUAUUUUCUCUGAAUAAAUUCAGUCUGACUGUAAAUUUGAACAUGGCCUCCACUCUAUUCUGCACCUCUUUUCCUAACAUUUAUGGUGCCCCAUGUGAGGAGGCACCACUCUGUAACUCUUUUUCCUAACACUUAUGCUUUGGGGUAUACAGUUUUGUACCAUAAACCAUCUAGAACUAUAUAAAGCAUGACAUAAUGUAUAGCAUAAAACUCUGUAAAAGGCUCAUACUCAGAAACCGAAUUGGGUUUUACUUUAUGCUGUCUGAAUUUUGUGUUCCUCUCUUUGUAUUUCCCUUUAUUGCCUAUGAUUUUUUCCCCUAAAUUUUGUUCAAUUCUUCACUUUUCAUUUCUUGAAUGAAAUCAAGUCCACCCACUCAUCUAGAAUCCUAGUCAAAUUCUUCCACUUCUCUUUCAUUGGUCAGGAAAUUUAAAAAAUUUAUUUAUUUGUUUGAAAGGCAGUGUUGAGAAACAGAGAGAUAGAGAUAGAGAGAUAGAGAGAGAGAUAGAGAGAGAGAGAGAGUUAGAUCACUACCCAAAUGGCUGCAGGGACUGAGGCUGGGUGAGCCAAAACUAGGAGCCUGGAAUGCCAUCCAGGUCUCCCUCAUGGGUGCAGGAGCUCAAGUUCAUACGUGUCCAGGCAGGCAUCACAGGUCUGUCUUUUUUGUGUAUGUGAAAAGCAAGUUCAAUGUAAUAUUGAGUGGGGAACAUUGGAAAAGAGGUCAAGGCAUGGCACUGGCAUAUAAAGAGAUGCUUGUAAGAGGUAAAGGUGAUAAUCACAUUUAUUAUCCCAGAGGUAAAGAUUUAGACCAAUCAGUUCUUGGAGAGAUUUUUCCUGCUUAGUUAUAGUUGUAUUUUUAGAGCAGUUUCUUAGAAACAAAUUUACAAUGAUAAAUCUUGAGUAUAAGAUUGAUAGUAUAACAUUCUCAAUAAGUUUUUUAGGUUUUCAUAUAUUUAUUUUGUUUAUUAAUUACAAAUACCAUUUUAUGAAAUUAUUUGAGCCCAUAUAAAGUAAGCUGUAAAAUGAAGGAGAAAAAAAAACAAACUGAGUAGCUAAAAUAUUUAAAAAAAUUAAAAUGCUUUCAUAACUCAAACAAAUUAUGGAGCUCUUAAGGGAGAAUCAUGUGGCUUAGGUACUCUUUACUUGGAAACUCAUACACUAGUAAAAAGAAAAAGGGAUUUAAAACCUAGAACUCUAUAUUGGUAGAAAAACAGCUUGUUAUCUUGCAACUUGCAUG
Molecule: non-coding RNA, 4571 nt
Organism: Oryctolagus cuniculus (rabbit)
Lineage: Eukaryota; Metazoa; Chordata; Mammalia; Lagomorpha; Leporidae
Source: RefSeq, a predicted model, not a curated record